GCUAAAUCCUGGGCACGGAAACAGAAAGCCACCCGUGCAGCAGGACGGGGUUCUGUUUCACACGAAGACGGCAAUUUCCUCUCUGCUAAGGGGACGUUGGAACAGAGACCUCAAGGAAGCCACCGAGCAGGUGAUCUGGAGGGAGGCUGAGGUGGUGCAUGGGCCCUGAGCUAGCAGCUGGUUUGUUCUGGUCCUGAAACACCAAGGAGGCCGAUACAGGGGGUGCAGGUGCAGCCGUCAGAUGACUGAGAACCCAGAGGGCAGGGUCGUGUCCCGGCUGGGCGGGGAGGCCUGCUCUUCCUGACCGCUGAGCUCCAGAGUUUGCACAGUGAGCUGAACAGCAGGCCUGACGGACAGACGGGCGGCGCGGGGAGCUGGGUUUUCAAACCGCUUUCCCUGGGAUGAGGCAAUUCCUGGGACCCGUGCCCACUGGGGCAGAAGGUUCCUAAGAGCCGUGCUAACGAAACGACAGGGUGACCGGGUGGAAUGCUCUCAACUCCACAGUGCAGAAAGCGAAACCUGGGAAUCACACAGUUGUGUCAUUCUUCUCCUUUUUUUUUUUAAUUCAUACCAGAUUUUCAUUUGUUAUUGAGUUCUCCAAAUCCAAAGGAAUACUGGGCUGUGUCCACCACCCCUCCGUUCGCCGGCUGCAUGUAUCAGGCAAUUAUCUAUUUGACCUUUCCAGAUGUUGGCGUGCUCACCUGUAAGAUGGUAAUACCCGCUGUUCUGCCAUGGUGGCCAGCGUGAGGGUCACCUCUGAGGGGGUGACUCGAGGGCUUAGCACAGUGCCAGAUGGAGGAGGUGCUCUGGAAAUGUCCCUGCUGUGACUAGGAAGGUUUAAAAGCUGGGAGGAGGAUCCUGAGUGGCCAAAGAAGCCCAGUUACACACAGAGAAGGACGACACGGACCCAGCACCCGCUGUCCCCAAGGCGUGGUGGCUGAUCCUCGGCUGCUCUGCAUGUUCUGCAUCCCCGGCUGCCGUCCUCCACAGCGUCUGUCCGUGCUCUCACACAGGGAGAGCCGUGUCCCUUGUCAAGUUCCACGUCACCUAACUUAUGCGGCUGCUUCCCCAGGAGAGCGAGCUCAGGACUCAGCCCGUCUUCCCACAGCACUGUGGAGGGGAAACUGUGCUACAGGGAACGGCACUGAGUCACCUCUCUGCCCUGAAGACGGCCAGCCGGGGCACGGGGCUAGGGGAAGGCAGCAGCAAGCCAGUCCUGGGAAGUGAGGCUCUGCUUGACCACUCCCCUCUAGAGCAACCCUGUCCUGAAACCCACCCCUCCCUGUGGCUGUCUCAGGUUCCAGAACCAACAAACGGCUCGAUGUUCUAGCAAUUCUCGUUACCAUCUAGGAGAGGUCCACUCAGCCAAUCGAAGAACAGGACACAGAGACAGCAAGCAAGCAGCAGACUUACUGCAGAUGAAACAGAGACAGACUUCGCCAAAGAGAAGAGCCCAGAGCUAGGAAUCCAGUGGGAUUCUGUGUUGGAAUUUUCUUCUUUCCUACCUCCUCCCUGUCCAUGGUCUUCUCACUAUGACUGAUCGGUGGCCCCUCUGUCCACACAGCUGUCCUGGUUUUUCUAUUGGACCCCCGGCUUAGGAGCACAAGCAUGGGAGUGUCUGUCUGACUGGGUCCCCACCUGUGUCAACGGGCACUUUCGUCAAGCAGGAAGUUGACCUCACUGGAAGACCCUCUCACGCCCCUUGUGCUGACCCUGUCCUGUCCUCCUCACUCGCCAUCUUGCCCUGGCCACCCAAGCCCUCCUGCAUCUCCCCCAUGCUGAGUUGGAUUUUCCCUUUAUAUUACAGCCUGAAGCAUCCAGAUACCAAUCAGAUAACUUACCCCAUCAGAUCGCCAUGACAACCCUGCUUUAAGACGCGUCUUCAGUGCACUUCGCCUGUGGAGGAACAUGCGGAGACCAAUGGCUGGCCCACUUUGGGGCUAUUUAGGGACCCCUUUUUUUAGUAGAGUGGAUUGGGGGGGCGGGUCACAGGUCUGUGUUCCUGCCUUGAUCUAGGGCCUCUGUUUCCUCCUCUAUAAAAUGGA
Molecule: long non-coding RNA, 2045 nt
Filed under: Marmota monax (woodchuck)
Lineage: Eukaryota; Metazoa; Chordata; Mammalia; Rodentia; Sciuridae
Source: RNAcentral